This 372-nucleotide ribosomal RNA is filed under the name uncultured organism. RNAcentral describes it as "partial 16S ribosomal RNA". It matches the Rfam family "Bacterial small subunit ribosomal RNA", at positions 527 to 896 of the family's 1533-position model. The record is from RNAcentral.
GUAGGUGGCAAGCGUUGUCCGGAAUUAUUGGGCGUAAAGCGCGCGCAGGCGGUUCUUUAAGUCUGAUGUGAAAGCCCACGGCUCAACCGUGGAGGGUCAUUGGAAACUGGAGAACUUGAGUACAGAAGAGGAAAGCGGAAUUCCACGUGUAGCGGUGAAAUGCGUAGAGAUGUGGAGGAGCACCAGUGGCGAAGGCGGCUUUCUGGUCUGUAACUGACGCUGAGGCGCGAAAGCGUGGGGGAGCAAACAGGAUUAGAUACCCUGGUAGUCCACGCCGUAAACGAUGAGUGCUAAGUGUUAGGGGGUUUCCGCCCCUUAGUGCUGCAGCUAACGCAUUAAGCACUCCCGCCUGGGAGUACGGCCGCAAGGCUG